AAUAAAAGUGUUGCUGAUUUCUAAAACUCUUUCUGUCUUUCCUUUUCCAAGAACAUCAGCAGGUGGUUAAUACUGUUAAUGUUCUUGGCUAUUUUAGAUUCUUUAAUCCACAUAAAUAUAGGACCAAAAUCUGAAAGUUUCAACACGGCUCAGAUUCAAAGAACCUGGACAAAAUAUGGGUUAUUUCUUAUUUCUUCUGAUUUCUCAAGUUCAUAUUAGCUUAUGAUUAUUUCAAGAAAAGCAAAAACAGGGGUAGGUGUUAUUUCAGCCUCUAAUUUAAUUCCAUUUUACAUACAUCCGUUGCUUUAUUUUAGUACUAUUUUUCUGGGUUUUUGCAGAAAAGUUCUUUUUCAAAUGUUUUUCUCUUUUUUGUGCUUUUCAGUGAAGGUUUGAUAAGGUGGGGAAUAAAAUGAGGCA
RNAcentral lists this long non-coding RNA (417 nucleotides) under Panax ginseng (ginseng). RNAcentral describes it as "long non-coding RNA (PGIN_LNC015268)". The record is from RNAcentral. Lineage: Eukaryota; Viridiplantae; Streptophyta; Magnoliopsida; Apiales; Araliaceae.